This 460-nucleotide ribosomal RNA is filed under the name uncultured bacterium. RNAcentral describes it as "partial 16S ribosomal RNA". It matches the Rfam family "Bacterial small subunit ribosomal RNA", at positions 338 to 795 of the family's 1533-position model. The record is from RNAcentral.
CCUACGGGAGGCAGCAGUGAGGAAUAUUGGUCAAUGGACGCGAGUCUGAACCAGCCAAGUAGCGUGAAGGAUGACUGCCCUAUGGGUUGUAAACUUCUUUUAUCAAGGAAUAAAACGAGCCACGUGUGCCGUUUUGCAUGUACUUUAUGAAUAAGCAUCGGCUAACUCCGUGCCAGCAGCCGCGGUAAUACGGAGGAUCCGAGCGUUAUCCGGAUUUAUUGGGUUUAAAGGGUGCGUAGGCGGGUUGUUAAGUCAGGUGUGAAAGUUUGCGGCUCAACCGUAACAUUGCAUUUGAUACUGGCAGUCUUGAGUACAGUAGAGGUAGGCGGAAUUCGUGGUGUAGCGGUGAAAUGCUUAGAUAUCACGAAGAACCCCGAUUGCGAAGGCAGCUUACUAGACUGUAACUGACAUUGAUGCUCGAAAGUGUGGGUAUCAAACAGGAUUAGAUACCCGAGUAGUC